This 1723-nucleotide long non-coding RNA is filed under the name Homo sapiens (human). RNAcentral describes it as "HSALNT0378257". The record is from RNAcentral. Lineage: Eukaryota; Metazoa; Chordata; Mammalia; Primates; Hominidae.
CCUUCCCCAGUGUGGAAGCUUUAGUUCUUUUGCUCUUUGCAAUGAAUCUUGCUGCUGCUCACUCUUUGGGUCCACGCUGCGUUUACACUGUGUUUAUGAGCUGUAACACUCACCACAAAGGUCUGCAGCUUCACUCCUGAAGCCAGCAAAGACCACGAACCCACCAGGAAGAAGGAACAACUCCAGACACGCAGCCUUAAGAGCUGUAACACUCACUGCCAAGGUCUUCAGCUUCACUCCUGAGCCAGCCAGACCAUGAACCCACCAGAAGGAAAAAACUCGGAACACAUCCCAACAUCAGAAGGAACAAACUCUGGACAUGCCGCCUUUAAGAACUGUAACAACGCAAGGGUCCGCGGCUUUAUUCUUGAAGUCAGUAAGACCAAGAACCCAAUUCCGGACACGUUUGGACCGCCCACAAGGGCAAGACUUCAUGAGGUUCUGGUGACCAAGCAUGCUCAUCGCUGUCCUGGGACUGCUCCAAGUGCAAUUCAAAGAUGUUUGUUACAAAUGAAGAUCCUCUCCUCAGAGAUCCUCAUUCCCUGCAUUUGAGAUGGGCCCUGGGAACCUUCAUUAUUAACUCCUGAAUUUCACUUGGACCAACACGGUGAUGGUGACAAGCCCAGACUGGUGCAUAUGAGAAGAGAAGACACAAGAAAACACACAUGGAAGAGAGUGAUGAAGGCGAAGACCGGAGUGAUGUAGCUCCAAGCCACAGAAUGUCAGAGAUCGCCAGGAGCCACCUCCGGGAUAAGUGGCGGUGGAGGACAUGACUUUUAUCUUUAGUGCCAAAGACACUAAGAGAAUGAACUCUUCCUGGUAACUAAUUAAGGUUUUAUUGCCUUCUCUCCCAUCAUCUCCUCUCUUUUCUAUUGUUUCUGUGCAGGUCCCACUUUCUGUAGUUGUUCUGGUUUUGACUUCUGUUUUCUCUUCCUUUCAGCAGAUGGAAAGGCAGCUCAACAUCUGAGAAGCCAGUCUUACUCCCUGCAGGCAACAGCUGCUUCCAGAAAACAGCCCUGUAAUUGUCACCAUCAAAUCCAUAUAUUUUCAAGGGAAGUUGGUCCCACACCAGAAGUCAUAGCUGAAUCACCAGCAGUAAUGCAGGGACAUACUGGUUGCUUCUUGGCUUUUCCAACCCUCUGCCAUGCUUGAACAUCUUUGUGAAAGUCCAGGAACAACAAAUAAGCUUAAGGAUAAAAGCCCCCCAGCCAUACCACCACAACCCCCUGUUAAACUCAUGCAUGACUUGUAGAAUCCUUUCCCCACUGUCACUAAAAGGCUUUUUACAUUUUCCCUCCUUAAAACACCAGUUUACUGAAUGGAACGCUAUUUCCUAAAUAUUUGCUACACACACAGCUGUAUAUAGAGUUCCCAGGAGAUGACUUUUUUCUUGUCAUCUUUUAAAACUACAGUUAUAUGUUGAUUUAAUUAUCUUCUCUCUAGAUUACUUCACCAAAGUACAGUUCCUACAGGAAGAUAAUGAUCUGACCUAACCUACUAUUGGCUGAAGGAAGGAGAAAAGCAGCUGAAGAUGUCUGUUGAGUGAUUACCCUCAUAAUCCGUGACUAAGAACAUCCAAAUCAGCAUGGCUUCUUCCUGUCUGAAAUUAUUACUACUUAGGGUUUUUCACGUGUUAUUUCAUUUAUUGAUUAUUCUGUUUUAAACUUGCAAGACGUAUUGUCUCUUCAGAAAUAAAACUUUAUCACUUGCUUCAUCAAUUCAA